RNAcentral lists this unclassified non-coding RNA (2493 nucleotides) under Leishmania donovani. RNAcentral's name for it is "gene:unknown". Lineage: Eukaryota; Euglenozoa; Kinetoplastea; Trypanosomatida; Trypanosomatidae. The record is from RNAcentral.
ACCCCCCCCCUGGGGUUGCUCCCCAACAAGCCAGAGCCGCACCACCAAGGUACACCGAGACAGCCGCGGCAUUUGUCAGCCCUACGCCGGCACGCUGGGCUCCCUACAUCACCGCGCCUCGGAGGCCCAACCGCGGCCCGCACCACACUCGUCGCGUCAUGGCCCUCCCACACCAUCGCCCCCGCCCCCCCCCUCUGUGUUCGCGCCGCCCACAAGAACAAGUCCAAGAUGGCCAAGCGUGCAUGCCCAGUCGCACAACCAUCCCUCCUGGGCCCUCUUCACCUCAUGAUGGUAGUGGACCCCCCGAGCGUGCAGCGCAACCGGACGCCGGCACGGCAGCGCGCCAUCUGUGUUCAUCACACCGCAAUCCCCACAUCCUCCGCGGGCAAGGAUGUCACGCAGGCCACACUACGAUUCGUCCUCUGCAAGGUGGCGCGCUGGGCACUGGAGCACGCCAGGCAGCUGGAUGAGCAUCCCCCAACACAAGGCGCACACGCGCCGGUGCGCGGCACCGCGACCAGCAGCAGCUCUCCGCUGCACGCAGUGACCUGGUUACGCACGUCUCACCCGAGCUGCGCGGGCUUCCCCCGUGGCGAGUGUAACGCUGCGAACAGUCCCCCUUGAGGACGGCGGACUGUGAGCUCUCUGUGUGCGCAGCCACACGCUUCUUCACGGGUUCCUUCCGCUCGGCACGCCCACUCCUGUCAGAGGCGUGCGGAUUCACGAGAGGGUGGAGUAACCAUGCUGCCGCAGUAUCUUGGCAGCGUUCCUCCUGUCGGUGGCACACGCGGGCACGCCGUUCAGGCACGGCCCCCUUCAUGACGUCGACAGAGAUGGAAGGCGAGGACGGCGAGCCCACCAGGUAAGAACGCCGUCGUGGCGCAGGCCACAGGAUGCAGAAAAUGUGUGCGCUGUCAACCACAGCUGGCUUGGUGCAUCACACCCACGCAAGACAUGCAGAGGUGAGCAGAGCAGGGGCGAGAGACGGAAGAGACGCGAAGAGACCCACACGAAUCGACCCCACAGUGCAUGCGUGCGAAGAGCAUGCAGCGUCUCCCAGAUCGGACCGUGUGGGAUGACGGGGUGCAGAUGUCGGAAAGCCUGAUGUGAGCACCGCGAAUUGUGCCAUCGAGCCAGUGAAAAUUCCAUGUGAGGAGUUUCCACACCUUAUCAUGGGAUGCUGCGGCUUGAAGCGACUGAGGGCAAGGCAUGGUCUAUGCCGGCAGAGCACAGGGUCUCUGAAAGCUCUGGUCUGUGGCUGGCCGACUUCUUCCCUAAGCUCAUCCGGCAUGUGCCAGGACCACCUCUGUACUAUCCGCACGCUAGACGCCACCACCCGCACCCUCGAGCAGAGGGCCCUAAAGGUUGCCCGACUUAGAUCAAGGCAUUCACUCCAUCCGAGUGUGUCUGGCGCCAAUCGCGUCGCAUGUAUGCGAAGGAGGGACAGGGAAAGACCAGUAGAGCCCGUCAGGCGCAGGGCGCUGAUUCGACUGGCUGGACGGUUCGUCCUAGACGGCCACGAGGAUGUAGCCGCGGCGCAGCAGGAGGGCCAGGUGGGCUGUGGUGUUGUGUACGUGUGUAUACGUGUUGACUUAUUCGUUUGUCGUAGAAUGGGCACGUUGCAAGCCAAAAAGAAAGAAACGAAUGCGGUGCUCAUACAUGCGCAUCUAUGUGUGUAUGUUUGUGUGUCCCUCGAUGCAGAGUCUCCGUAGCGUGAGUGCGCUGUGUCACCCACGUGUAUAAGCACAAGCACACACACACACACACACACAUACAUACAUACAGAGAGAGAGGGAGGGGAGGGGCCGACAACGUACUGGCCCGCUCUUUCCGUUACCACAGCGGAAUCAAGCAUCACGUUGAGCACAACAGCAACAUGUGUGUGUGUGUGUGUGUGUGUGUGUGUGUGUGUGUGUGUCGCGGUUUUGUGACUUUGUUGUUCGCUCUGGUCGAGCAGAGUUCAGGUAACAAGGGCCGGUAAGGCUGCUGCAGACGCAUGGGCGAGGGGUAAGGCAAAACAGAGAGGUUGAGAGAAAGAGUGAGCUGCACUACAGGAAUGGAUACCAUCCUGGCCGAUUCAAUGCGCUCAGCAGGACGGGAAGGGGACGCUUUUUCCCCUUACUUUCCUCAGUAGUUAGCAGUCGCCCUCAUCUCAUUCUCCCUGCACGUAGCUCUGCGUCUGUGCUACUGCCGGUGACCCCACAACGCACAACGCCACCCCCACCAGCACCCUCCUCUCCUCUUUCCACUGUCUGUGUCUGCGCGUCAGAGGGAACACACAGCAUACGGCGUGUAAUAUGACCUCUUGUCACACUCACCAUCCUCCCUCCCUCCUUCCCCAUACUCCCCUUCCUCUGUCACUCUCUCUCCCUCUCGUGGAUGUGGCCAACGCGUCUCUACAUGAACGAAUCCCGCAUGUAUCCACAUGUCCGCAUGCAUGCACGCCCGCGGAUACGUCCCUUCCCUUUCGACAUUGCUGUCCACUCAUCGAAG